Molecule: ribosomal RNA, 479 nt
Filed under: uncultured bacterium
Lineage: Bacteria
Description: partial 16S ribosomal RNA
Rfam family: Bacterial small subunit ribosomal RNA
Source: RNAcentral
GCGGCACGGAUUAGGCAUGCAAGUCGAGCGAGAAGGGUUUUGAAGCUUGCUUUAGAACCCGGAAAGCGGCGCAAGGGAGAGUAACGAGUAGUUAUCUACCCCAAGGCCCGGAAUAGCUGCGGGAAACUGCAGGUAAUGCCGGAUAAUAUCCCCGGAUCAAAGGUGUGAUUCCGCCUUGGGAGGAGACUGCUUUGUACUAGCUAGUUGGUAGGGUAAUGGCCUACCAAGGCUACGAUGCAUAGCGGGCGUGAGAGCGUGGCCCGUCUAACUGGGACUGAAACACUGCCAAGACACCUACGGGUGGCUGCAGUCGAGAAUCUUCGGCAAUGGGCGAAAGCCUGACCGAGCGAUGCCGCGUGCGGGAUGAAGGCCCUCGGGUUGUAAACCGCUGUCGUAGAGGAGAAAGGUCUGAUGAAGAAUCAGAUUUGAUCUAUUCUAGGAGGAAGUCGGGGCUAAGUUCGUGCCAGCCGCCGCGGUAA